Molecule: ribosomal RNA, 402 nt
Filed under: Verrucomicrobiota bacterium
Lineage: Bacteria; Pseudomonadati; Verrucomicrobiota
Description: Verrucomicrobia bacterium partial 16S ribosomal RNA
Rfam family: Bacterial small subunit ribosomal RNA
Source: RNAcentral
UGGGGAAUUUUGCACAAUGGGGGAAACCCUGAUGCAGCGACGCCGCGUGAUUUAGAAGGCCUUCGGGUUGUAAAAAUCUUUUGUAUGGGAAGAAAAUGACAGUACCAUACGAAUAAGGACCGGCUAAUUACGUGCCAGCAGCCGCGGUAAUACGUAAGGUCCGAGCGUUGUCCGGAAUCAUUGGGCGUAAAGGGUACGUAGGCGGAUAAGCAAGUUAGAAGUGAAAUCCUAUAGCUCAACUAUAGUAAGCUUUUAAAACUGCUCAUCUUGAGGUAUGGAAGGGAAAGUGGAAUUCCUAGUGUAGCGGUGAAAUGCGCAGAUAUUAGGAGGAAUACCGGUGGCGAAGGCGACUUACUGGCCAUAUACUGACGCUGAGGUACGAAAGCGUGGGUAGCAAACAGG